GACGGUCUUGCUGUCACUUAUAGAUGGAUCCGCGCUGCAUUAGCUAGUUGGUAAGGUAACGGCUUACCAAGGCAACGAUGCAUAGCCGACCUGAGAGGGUGAUCGGCCACACUGGAACUGAGACACGGUCCAGACUCCUACGGGAGGCAGCAGUAGGGAAUCUUCCGCAAUGGGCGAAAGCCUGACGGAGCAACGCCGCGUGAGUGAUGAAGGUCUUCGGAUCGUAAAACUCUGUUAUUAGGGAAGAACAUAUGUGUAAGUAACUGUGCACAUCUUGACGGUACCUAAUCAGAAAGCCACGGCUAACUACGUGCCAGCAGCCGCGGUAAUACGUAGGUGGCAAGCGUUAUCCGGAAUUAUUGGGCGUAAAGCGCGCGUAGGCGGUUUU
RNAcentral lists this ribosomal RNA (388 nucleotides) under Staphylococcus aureus. RNAcentral describes it as "bacterial SSU rRNA". It matches the Rfam family "Bacterial small subunit ribosomal RNA", at positions 202 to 582 of the family's 1533-position model. The record is from RNAcentral. Lineage: Bacteria; Bacillati; Bacillota; Bacilli; Caryophanales; Staphylococcaceae.